RNAcentral lists this transfer RNA (74 nucleotides) under Pteropus alecto (black flying fox). It matches the Rfam family "tRNA". Rfam says of the family: Transfer RNA (tRNA) molecules are approximately 80 nucleotides in length. Their secondary structure includes four short double-helical elements and three loops (D, anti-codon, and T loops). Further hydrogen bonds mediate the characteristic L-shaped molecular structure. tRNAs have two regions of fundamental functional importance: the anti-codon, which is responsible for specific mRNA codon recognition, and the 3' end, to which the tRNAs corresponding amino acid is attached (by aminoacyl-tRNA synthetases). tRNAs cope with the degeneracy of the genetic code in two manners: having more than one tRNA (with a specific anti-codon) for a particular amino acid; and 'wobble' base-pairing, i.e. permitting non-standard base-pairing at the 3rd anti-codon position. Lineage: Eukaryota; Metazoa; Chordata; Mammalia; Chiroptera; Pteropodidae. The record is from Rfam by way of RNAcentral.
GGCUCCAUAGUGUAGUGGUUAGCACGUCUGCUUUACACGCAGAAGGUCCUUGGUUCGCGCCCCAGGUGGAGCCA